RNAcentral lists this ribosomal RNA (556 nucleotides) under Halomonas sp. LES1. RNAcentral describes it as "partial 23S ribosomal RNA". It matches the Rfam family "Bacterial large subunit ribosomal RNA", at positions 2182 to 2737 of the family's 2925-position model. Lineage: Bacteria; Pseudomonadati; Pseudomonadota; Gammaproteobacteria; Oceanospirillales; Halomonadaceae. RNAcentral also lists the same sequence under 1 other name. The record is from RNAcentral.
GGAGCCAACCUUGAAAUACCAGCCUGGCAUCAUUGGCGUUCUAACUCAGGUCCGUGAUCCGGAUCGAGGACCGUGUGUGGUGGGUAGUUUGACUGGGGCGGUCUCCUCCCAAAGCGUAACGGAGGAGCACGAAGGUACCCUCAGUACGGUUGGAAAUCGUGCAUUGAGUGCAAGAGCAUAAGGGUGCUUGACUGCGAGACAGACACGUCGAGCAGGUACGAAAGUAGGUUCUAGUGAUCCGGUGGUUCUGUAUGGAAGGGCCAUCGCUCAACGGAUAAAAGGUACUCCGGGGAUAACAGGCUGAUACCGCCCAAGAGUUCACAUCGACGGCGGUGUUUGGCACCUCGAUGUCGGCUCAUCACAUCCUGGGGCUGAAGUCGGUCCCAAGGGUAUGGCUGUUCGCCAUUUAAAGUGGUACGCGAGCUGGGUUUAGAACGUCGUGAGACAGUUCGGUCCCUAUCUGCCGUGGGCGUUGGAGAUUUGAGAAGAGCUGCUCCUAGUACGAGAGGACCGGAGUGGACGCACCUCUGGUGUUCCGGUUGUCACGCCAGUGGCA